Molecule: ribosomal RNA, 468 nt
Filed under: uncultured bacterium
Lineage: Bacteria
Description: partial 16S ribosomal RNA
Rfam family: Bacterial small subunit ribosomal RNA
Source: RNAcentral
GACGAACGCUGGCGGCGUGCUUAACACAUGCAAGUCGAACGGAAAGGCCCUGCUUUUGUGGGGUGCUCGAGUGGCGAACGGGUGAGUAACACGUGAGUAACCUGCCCUUGACUUUGGGAUAACUUCAGGAAACUGGGGCUAAUACCGGAUAGGAGCUCCUGCUGCAUGGUGGGGGUUGGAAAGUUUCGGCGGUUGGGGAUGGACUCGCGGCUUAUCAGCUUGUUGGUGGGGUAGUGGCUUACCAAGGCUGUGACGGGUAGCCGGCCUGAGAGGGGGACCGGCCACAUUGGGACUGAGAUACGGCGCAGAAUCCUACGGGAGGCAGCAGUGGGGAAUAUUGCAGAAUGGGCGGAAGCCUGAUGCAGCAACGCCGCGUGCGGGAUGACGGCCUUCGGGUUGUAAACCGCUUUCGCCUGUAACGAAGCGGGAGUGACGGUAAUGGGUAAAGAAGCACCGGCUAACUACGUG